CCUACGGGUGGCAGCAGUGAGGAAUAUUGGUCAAUGGACGCAAGUCUGAACCAGCCAUGCCGCGUGCAGGAAGACGGCUCUAUGAGUUGUAAACUGCUUUUGUACGAGGGUAAACGCAGAUACGCGUAUCUGUCUGAAAGUAUCGUACGAAUAAGGAUCGGCUAACUCCGUGCCAGCAGCCGCGGUAAUACGGAGGAUUCAAGCGUUAUCCGGAUUUAUUGGGUUGAAAGGGUGCGUAGGCGGUCGGAUAAGUUAGAGGUGAAAUCCCGAGGCUCAACUUCGGAAUUGCCUCUGAUACUGUUCGUCUAGAGAGUAGUUGCGGUAGGCGGAAUGUAUGGUGUAGCGGUGAAAUGCUUAGAGAUCAUACAGAACACCGAUUGCGAAGGCAGCUUACCAAGCUACUUCUGACGUUGAGGCACGAAAGCGUGGGGAGCAAACAGGAUUAGAUACCCGAGUAGUC
This 460-nucleotide ribosomal RNA is filed under the name uncultured bacterium. RNAcentral's name for it is "partial 16S ribosomal RNA". It matches the Rfam family "Bacterial small subunit ribosomal RNA", at positions 338 to 795 of the family's 1533-position model. The record is from RNAcentral.